AUUGAACGCUGGCGGCAUGCUUUACACAUGCAAGUCGAACGGCAGCGCGGGCUUCGGCCUGGCGGCGAGUGGCGAACGGGUGAGUAAUGCAUCGGAACGUGCCCAGUAGUGGGGGAUAGCCCGGCGAAAGCCGGAUUAAUACCGCAUACGACCUGAGGGUGAAAGCGGGGGACCGAAAGGCCUCGCGCUAUUGGAGCGGCCGAUGUCGGAUUAGCUAGUUAGUGGGGUAAAGGCUUACCAAGGCGACGAUCCGUAGCUGGUCUGAGAGGACGACCAGCCACACUGGGACUGAGACACGGCCCAGACUCCUACGGGAGGCAGCAGUGGGGAAUUUUGGACAAUGGGGGCAACCCUGAUCCAGCCAUGCCGCGUGCGGGAAGAAGGCCUUCGGGUUGUAAACCGCUUUUGUUCGGGAAGAAAUCCUCUGGGCUAAUACCCCGGGGGGAUGACGGUACCGGAAGAAUAAGCACCGGCUAACUACGUG
Molecule: ribosomal RNA, 484 nt
Filed under: uncultured bacterium
Lineage: Bacteria
Description: partial 16S ribosomal RNA
Rfam family: Bacterial small subunit ribosomal RNA
Source: RNAcentral